GUUGCUAUGCCUACAUCCGACAAAACCGGAACGAUACAUGGAAGAUAAACAUGGUACAUGCACAAGGAUGCCACACAUAAAUCAAAACCUAAUGUUCUA
Non-coding RNA from Prunus persica (peach), 99 nucleotides. Lineage: Eukaryota; Viridiplantae; Streptophyta; Magnoliopsida; Rosales; Rosaceae. The record is from Rfam.